UUGAGUUGGAUCCCAUUUUACAGGUAUACCAUAAAAGGAUAAUUUGUUUAUUCUUUCAUUAAUUGUUGGAUAUUUGGUUUGGUGAUUAUGAAUGAAAUUUCUAUAAACAGUCUCAGAUAGGUCUUUGUGUAGGGACUUUACUUGGAUAAAUAUAUAGGAGAAGGAGUCCUUGAUUGUAUAGUAAGUGUAUAUUCAACUUUAUAAGAAAAUGCCAAAUGUUUUCCAAAGUUGCUGUACCAUUUUACAUUCUCUUCAGUAAUGCGUGAGUUUCAGUUCAACAUCUAAACCAACACUUGCUGGUGAUUGUUUAUAAAUUUUAGCCAUUCUACUUGGCAUCUAAUAGUAUCUUAUAGUUUUAAUCUAAUUUGCAUUUUUGUAAUAAUGAUGGUGAACAUCUUUUCACAUGAUGUUUGCCACUCAUAGCUCAAGUGAUGCACCUUUUAAAAUAUUUUGACCAAUUCUAAAAGAAAAAUGGGUUGUUUGCUUUUCAUUAUUGAAUUGUAAGAGCUCUUUAUGAAUUCAGGAUGGAAGUUAUAUUUAAUGAGAUGGGUGUUUUACAUAUAUUUUCUCUAAGUCUAUGACUUGCCUUUUAAUUUUGUUAGUAUGUAGUACUUUUUAAACUUGUGUAGAUUCUUUGAGAUUUUCUACAUAGACAAUCAUGUGGUCUCCAAAUAAAAGACAGUCUUAUUUAUUCCUUUCUAAUAUGUAUAAUUUUGAUUUCUUUUUUGUACUUUAUUAUGUUGGUUAGAACCUUCAUUAUGAUGUUAAAUAGGAAUAAUGAGAGCAUUCUUGCCAUAUUCCUGGUCUUAGGUAAAAACACUCAUUCUUUCACCAUUAAGUGUGAUGUUACUUAUAGGUUAACUUAAGGUGCCUUUUUUCAGGUUGAGGAAGUUCCUUUCUAUUCCAAGUUUGCUGAGGGUUUUUAUCAUUAAUGGAUGCUAAAUUUUGUCAAAUGCUAUUUUUAUAUCUAUUGACAUGUUGAUUUUUAUUUGUGUAAUAGUUGUUGUUAAUAUGCUGAAUAUUGACCCAAACUUGCAUUUCUGGGAUAAGCUCACUUGGUCAUGAUGUAUCAUCUUUUUUGUGUUUCAUUAGAUUUGAUUUACUAAAGUUUUGUUGUGGUUUGAGAGCAUAUUUUAUAUCAGCGCUUCUCAACUAGGGACAGUUUUGCUCCCCAAACGACAUUGGGAAGUGUCUGGAGAAAUAUUUAGUUGCCACAUUUGAGGGAAGAGAGAGGAUUUUCUACGGGCAUCUAGCAGACAGGGACCAAGGAUGCUGCCAAAUAUCCUAAAUUGCAUAGGAAAGCACCACACAACAAAGAAUUAUCAGGCCCCAAUGUUGAUAGUGCAAGUUCAAGAAAUGUUGCUGUAUGGGAUCUCAAAAAUUUUAAAUUUGUUCAGAUUUAUUAUUUUAUGACCCAGAAUAUGACUAUCUCGGUGAAUGUUCAAUGUACACAUGAAAACAAUGUUUAUCCUUUUAAUAUAGGGAAGAAUGUUGUAUAAAUGUCAAUUAGGUCAAGUUGGUUGACAGUGUUGUUCAAAUUUUGUAUAUCUUUACUGAAUUUUAUACCUACUUAUUCUAUAGAUUACUGGAAGAAAAGUGUUGAAAUGUCCAACUAUAAUUGUGAGUUUGUCACUUUUUUUUUAGUUCUCUCAGUUUUUUACUUUUUAUUACAUUUUAUUUUAUUCAUGUCUGUUAGUUUUUUGCUUCUUGUAUUAUGAAGUUCUGUUGUUAAAUAUAUUCAGGUUUUUACAUAUUAUUAAAGAAUUGACCUCUUUAUUAUUAUGUAAUGUCUCUCUAUUCCUGGUAAUAUUUCUUGUUCUGAAGUCUACUUUUUCUGAUAGUAAUACAGUCACUCCAGCUUUCUUUUGAUUAGCAUUUGUGUGGUAUAUUUUUUCAUCCUUUAAUUUUUAACCUAUGCCUUUAUAUUUAAAGUGUGUUUAUUUAUAACACAUAUAAAGUGCAUUUAUUUAUAGAGUUGGGACUUCCUUUAAUUUAAUUUGACAAUUUCUGUCUAUUGAUAUUUUAGAGCAUUUACAUUUAAUGUGAUUAUCAAUAUGGUAAACUUAAGUUUACCAUAUUGCUAGUUGUUUACUAUUGAUGUAAUAUGUUCUUUGUUCCUUUUCCUUCUUUUCCUACCUGUGGAUUAACUAAAUAUUUUUAUGAUUCCAUUUUUAUCUACAUUACUGAUCUAUAAGUUGUUCCUCUUUUCAAAUAUUUUUAGUAGUUGUGCUGGUAUUUACAGUAAAUAUCUUUAAGCUAUCACAGUCUAUCUUCAAGUAAUUUAUAUCAUUUCACCUGUAGUAUCAGGACCUCACAGCACAUAUUCCAUUUACUCCUUUCCAUUCUUUGUGUUAUUGUCAUACAUUUUACUUCUACUUAUAAGCCUCACAAUACAUUGUAACUAUGCUUGAUUUAGACGGUCAAUUAUCUUUAAAGGUGAUUAAAAAUAAUUUUUAAAAAUAUCCUUUAUAUGUACCUUUAUUUCUAUCAUUUUCAGUGCUAUUUAUUUCUUUACAUAGCCCACAAUUUCCAUCUGGUACCAUAUGCAUUCUGUCUUAAGGACUUCCUUUAACUUUUCUUAUAGCAUAGGUCUGCUGGCUUCAUGCCUGUCCUCCAGCAGCAGGCAGUCACCUCCUGCAUGCCUCUGCCACAGCAGGGACCUCUCUCUCGUUUCCUGCUCCCAGUCUUUCUCAUAAGCACCUCACGCAGGCCUGUGGAAAAGUUUAUAAAUAAGUGUGGGCUUCCCUGUGGGUGGAGUUCCUAGAUAUUUCAAACUAAUAAUAGUUCAUACUUGUCUUUUAGAAAUUUGUGAAACUUUUAGCUAAUUUUUUCCUACUCACAUUUGUAGGGAGGCCACCUAUUUUUCCCAUGCUUUGCCAAAGAUUAAAUACUUUGUAUGUCCCUCUUGAGGGGCAUAUCACUCUUUGAACUUAAUUUACUUGGCUGCCUUGAACCUCAGCUCUCUAAUGGGCUCAAGGAAAGUAGUAAUUUUGUACAUCUUCUGGCUUUUGGUCAUUGUUAGCAGGAACAACGUUCUCUUGUAUCUCUCUACAACAUUUACCAAAGUGGAACUCCUCUUUUCAGCAUCUUAAACAAAUUUUGGAUUUGAAAUGGCUCAAAGCAUUUGGGAACUCUAUUUUACAUACAUUUUAAAAUGAAGCUUCUAUAGUUCUGUGGUAUCUUAUAUGAUCUUAAUUGUUAAUUAGUUGGAAGGAUAUGUGUCAUCUAUUAGUAAGUUGUAGAGUUUUUGUUUUUAGACAUUAUUUGUCAUAACCCCAAAGGGUCUAUUUCUACAUAAGUAUUGAAAUCAUUUUUCAAAAAGCAGCAACAGAAAAAGCUGCUAUAAAUUUCAUGGCUAAAGAUUGGGAGAUAUUUGGGGGUGAUGGUAUCUGCUGAUAUUAACCUUGUGAUCAGCCUAAAUUUCUAUUUAUUACAUUUUUACUUGUUUUUAUUCCUAUAAAUAUUAUAUAUAAGAUUAAUAGUCAACUUAUGGAACAUUUGUCACUGGAACAUAUUUGUCAUUCCCUAUUUAUAUAUAUACAAAUGAAAUACACAUACUUGAUCGAAGUAAAUGCAUUAAAAACAAUCAUCUUUAAUUCCUUUGAAUCUGUACUACAUACAAACGACAUAGUUUUAGGAUUCUCUACAAAUUCUUAAGUAUAAUUAAAUCAGAAUUAAGGUGAUCAUCUACAUAUUGAAAGCUGCCUUCCAAAUGAAUGAAAUGUAAUAUAACAUUUCAAAUAUAAAAGGAAAUGUUGAUGCCCACGAAAUAAUUUCAUCUUCAUUUAUCUAGGAUCAAAUAUUGUGAAGAAAUUUAACAUUAUCUAUGGAUUAAUAUAAAGACAAAUGCGAUGGGCUGUAAUUGAGCAUUCAAAUUAAGUUUUUCAUAUAGUGUGCUCAUAUGUUAGACCUUUAAGAAAUGUGAAUCAGAUCUAAUCAUAGCAGCAGUGAGUGAUAAUGCAGUUUGCCAGCUAAGGCAAGGCACCCCAGGAAAAUGCUAUUCAUAUAACAUUGCCUAAUCAGUGUAUAUCUAAGGCAUCUUUAAAGGAAAAUGUAUACAGAUGCUCCUCCAUUUAUGAUGGGGUUAUGUCCAGAUAAAGUCAUUGUAAGUUGAAAAUAUCAUUAAUCAAAAAUGAAUUUAAAACGCUUAACUUCCCAAACAUCAUAGCUUAGCCUAGCCUACCUUAAAAGUGCUCAGACACUUAACAUUAACCUACAGUUGGGCAAAAUUAUCUAACACAAAGCCUAUUUUACAAUAAAAUGUUAAAUAUCUCAUGGAAUUUAUUGAAUGCCGUACUGAAAGUGAAAAGCAGAAUGGCCGUAUGGGUACUUGAAGUAUGGUUUCUACUGUGUGCUUAUUAUUUUCAUGGUGUCAUAAAGUCAAAAAAUCAUAGCGUAACCCUGGUUAAGUCAGGGACCAUCUCUAUGUCCUUCAUAUACAAGAUUUUAUUAUUUUACUUUUCAGAAUUUCUCGCUGUGAUGAAAUUAAUGUAGUUGGGAAAAUAGUACUGGAUUUAAAUUCAUUUCUAAGAACAGAAGAAAAUUAAAGAUAUUAAUUAUGAAGUUACAAAACAUAUCAAUGAGCUCUUUUUGGAAUUUGAGUUUAGUAUUUGAGUCAGAGUGAUGUGAGAGAUAUUUAUUUGCCAAGCAUGAAGCAGAGACUUCAGUGGCUGCAGUAGCAUAGUAUCUGCUCCCAAGUGGUUUCCAGUCUGGUAAAGGGAUAUACAGAGCCUCAGUCUAAGUGCUGCAGGAGGCAUGGACAGGAUUCAGAAUGCCCAGAGGUCCCCCAGGCAGCCAGGGAAGGGGAACACUGAAGAUGGAGAUCAUUGGAGGAGGACGGCAUUGCAAGCAGAAGAUAAGAAAGAAUCCCUUCUUCUCAUCCACAUGACACAUAUCAUAAGAUCAUAUGGCCUCAAAAUCAUAGCUCUUCUUAUUUUCCUUAAGAACAUGGAGUUUCACAUGCAAUUAACUUAAAUCUUCCCAGCCCUCCAUUCUCCCUUCAAUAAUUACCUUUCUAUUUUGCUGUUCAUCUAAUGCGCUUUAACACUAUGCUAUGUUAGAACUAUUUUUUCUAUUCUGUUUAUUUUCAGGCUUUUAAGAAAUUUUUAUUAGACGAUUUUAGUAAUUCAUGUGAAAAAGCAUAAAUUUACCAAUCUGUAGCAGCAGAUAAUCCAAGGGAGAGUUCAUGCUAGAAGUGGGGGAUCAGGAGUAAAUAUUCUCCUAACUAAGAGCUUAGGUCAAACUAGAGUCCAAGAGAGUAGAGAGGUAAAGCCUGUGCUAAGAGCCAGAAUAUAGCAAGAAGCUUUUGAUACUCUCAGCUGCCAACUAGGAAACGGGUGAGAACAGGCACACAAAUGAGCAAAGGGGUAGAAAUGAGAUUUACAGCAAUUGUAAUAUAUUUAUUCAGUGCCUAUAAUCAUCUUUGAAUACACUCAUUUAUUUAGACUGUGCAUUCUGUGUUGCAUAUUUGUUGAUUAACAUUUUCAUUAGUUUACCAUUGUAGAAACAAAAAUAGUAAGUUAUGUGUCUGUAAGAAAGAGACAUGACCUGCUAGGUCCUGUCCAGAGGUCUUACUAACUUGGCUGACUUAAAGAUAUGAUUAAAGGAAUAAAGCCAUAUUAGGAAGAAGUGGUUAUUAACAUCACCCAGAAUGGCCAGAAAUUUCAGCAUAAAUAUUUAUGAGAGAGUCCACUGAAACUACACAUUUAGUAAAGGGAAACAAGAUCUUUGGUUUUUGAGAACUUUCUACUGGACAAAAAACCUUGAAGUCAAAAGCUAGUCAAAGGUACCACGUGAUACUUCUUGUUUCAGGUGAAGCUGCCUGUCUAUCACAGAGCAACCACUGCACAACAUCCAGAGUUGGCAUUAAAUCCAAAAGCUUUGGAGAUGAAUGACUUCGUUAAGAUUCCUCUCUGGGAAUGUGAAGAGAUGGGAUCUAAACUCAAAGACUCUGAUCCAUAAAUUUUUGGAGCUGUAAGUCUGAGGUCAAAAGACAUGAAUCUUAGGAAACAAAUUUCCUUUUCUCCAGGGCUUCCUGUCUCUUUCCUCAUCCAGUUAUAAGGGAAAAAAAAUAUUACAGUAGAAGAAAAAAUGGUCAGUGCAAGCUGAUCUUGGCUAAGGUUAAAGGAGGGCCAUACAAUAAUGGUCUGCCUCUUCCCAUUUUUAUUUAGCUUCCCAAUAGAAUAAUGAUCAUGCUGUGGCAUGUUUUGGAAUAAUUAUAUCUGGCAGAGGCAUCACUCAGGUUUUGCCUGUAUGUAAAUGGAGGACUGUUUCCUUGUGAGUAGAUGACCAUGCCUCCCAAUUUACCUGGCACUGUCUCAGGUUGUGCCCCUUUCUUCUCAAAAUACCAUGAUUUGGAUGAAAAUAUAAAUUGCCACCCUGUUAAUGAGCCACUGUUUUAGAGAUGGCUCCCUCCCAGAAGGAAAGCUACCUAAAAUACCCUCAGAUGGUAUUAGACAUUAACGAAAAAUAAACUUUAAAUAUUUUCUAGUCACAUUAAAAUAGCUAAAGUAAAAAAAGUGCAAAUAUCAGUAAAGGGAUAAUGCUUCACAUACACAUGCAUGCACACACACACAUUCACACACACGCUCUGGCCUAUUUUUCAAAUGGAAGUGCCUGUGAGGCUUAAAAGUAUGAUAAGAAGAAAAGGAAGAAAAUAGAUAAGAUGUGCAAAUGAGACAACCCUUACUAAAAGGGUGAAGGGACAAGGAGAAGUGCAGCCAAUCCUGAGCAGAAUGUACUGAAACAUUCAGCAUUUCUUCCCCAGGAUGGCACGCUCCUCUGAAGAAAUGAUUCCAUACGAAGGAGAAGGGUCCCCUUUCCAGAUGACAGGCUUUGUCUUCAAAGCAAGGGUAUGCAACUACUGGACUUUGUCUAUACUUGGUAACUUUUAUAAAUAAAUCAAGUCUGGUAAUUCAUGCUGUACCAAGAAAGGCUCUAGUUAGAAGAGCAGCAUUAGCAUUUUAGAUUUUGGUCUAACAGACAGUGUAGCAAGGUCUCCUGGGUAAAGUUUUAAGAGCAAUUAGAGCUAAUAAAAAGACAGGCUUGUCAGCACCUGAACAAUGUGGAAAAGGAGAGCCAGUGGCUUGGCUUUUGAUUUUGAACUGGACCCAAGUUAAAGCUAAUAGAAUUGUUUUUUUCAGGAGUACGUGUGUGUGUGUGUGUGUGUGUGUGUGUGUGUGCACGUGUGCACUUGUUUGUGCGUAGCCUGUGCAUGGGGUGAGGGGGUUCAUGAACAUAGAUACAGUUCAGCUUUGGAAUAAAAGUGAAAGGCAUUUUUAGUUGCUUUCAAAACCUCUAAAAAUAGCCAUAAGUCUCUGCCAAAGCUAAUAUAGACAGGAUUCCCAUGGAAACCCUCUGGGCUAGAAGGGGCGGGUAUUAUUUUUUCACUGGUUAUUGGUUAAAAGACUUCUACCCAUUUUCUAUAAUGUAGGAGUGUGUUUACUGUCAAAACUGAUGAAUCAAAUCUUAAAGGCACCUGCUUAUCUGUUCUACUUAUCUGAAGGAGAGAAAGUACAGUAGUGUCUGUACUUAAUAAAAAAUUUUCGCAAGGAAUGCGUUAGUUAAGAAAAAAAAGUACCACCUUCUUUCACAUUCUGUGCUUAUAUGUUCUGUAGCUAGUUUUUAAAUUCCUACUUUGAGUCCAUGGUCACAGCCAGAUUUCAUGAUAUUUUUACCCAUAUAUUUAUCUGUGAUAACAGUCAUCUGUUUUUACAUUUUCUCAUUUUGGGUGGUGUCUUAUUUGGAUGUAUGUGUCAAUUCCGAGGCACCAAGAAUUAAAGGAUGUAUGAUCAGCCUAGAAUUUGACAUUGUGAAGUUAACCCUUAGGAAUUUUCAUUUUCUUCACUUUCAGCUGGAAGAUUAAAAUUUCAAAAAAUAUUAAGAGCUAAGAAUGAUGAACUUAUUUCUUUUCUUUUGAAUUAUAACACCUUUGGGGAAAGUAUUUUAACAAAAUAAUUAGCUGUUUAUCAGUUUACAAAUACAGAGAUAAGAAGAACUUAAAUCUUUUUAAAGAUUACAAAAAGCAAGAAUACAAUAGAAUUCUAAAGGUAUUUUCCAUAUAUUUCAGUAGAUUCAGAUUAUGACUAGUUAAAUGAUUAAUUGAUAGUUAUUUUAAAAACUUUGAUUGCUUUAUUCUUUGAUUUUAUUCUUUUUCUUCUUUCUAAUAAUGCGUUUUCUAAACCAUAUUAUAAGUAAUAAUUAACAUAUGUACAUGGUUCUUAAUAACCUACUAAACACUUCCAUGUAAAUCAUAUUUAAUCAUCAUAAAUAUAAACAUAAAGGUUUAUAAAGUCACCAUUUUUAUAAUUAUUCUAUAAUUAUGAAAUAAUAUAAAUAUUCUUUAUAUGUCAUUUUGUUUUAUUUCUUCAUGUGGUUAAUGUCAUUUAACUUAUAGUUCUAGAAGAUGUUUUUGCAGUAACUACAAUAUGCAUAUUUUUUUGCUUAGUAUUUUACAUCUUUAAGUAAAGAUUGAGGAGGAAACGUAAUGCCCUAAAAUAUUACAGCUCACCAAACACAUCAUGGAGUCAUAUUUUAGGAUAUUCUUAGUCCCAGAUAGCAGGAGUAGUGGCUAGAAACAAACCUUUGAUACGUAGAAGUCCCCCAGAUUCCUAGAUAGUAUCUGGAAGCAUCCAGGGCCUGGUGCUGAAAGGAUCUGGUUUUCUUCUCCUGUUGUAGUGGCUAAGAGGCCUGUGUAGAAAAAGCUGUGGGUCUCACAGACAGCGAUCUUAUCGCUAGAGCUGGGUUAGGGGUAUAUCCAGGAGACAUUUUCCUUCUCUGAGCCCCACUUGCAAGAGACAUUCGCUAUACCCAGAGGGAACUCCAGUAGAAGUGCCAGAUUGUUUGCUGUUGGCAUAUAAAAGUGCUUCAUAGUGUACUUUACUUCAUGGUGCCCGAAAUCUGCUGAGAGGCAACUGGUGACAGAGACCUGAAGAAAGUGGAGCCCAGAAAUGUCUUGGAUUUUGACUUUAUCUCUUUCUUUGAUGGUCUUUCAUGAUGCUAAACAAGUCCUGUGUGCUUAGAUAGAAACUGAAGCUUGUGAGAAUGUUUUCUCUUUUACCUGGGGUGGAUUGGGAUCCUCACCAUACAGCAUUAAUUUCUUAACGAUAUAUAUAAUCAUAGAAGACAAUAGAGGCAUCAUUCCAGACAAUAUUUUUAAAGCCAUUUGGCACAAGAAAUAAGACAAGCAAAAAUCCAAAAAGUGACAAAAGCUCUACCCAAUGAGGGGGUCAGUCCCAUCUAAGUAAUGCAAAAAUGGGAUUGGCUUGAGGAAGUAGGAAUGGGAACCCAGUACUGAAGUUAUAGGCCAAAUCAAAAGAUGGGAAAUCUAGAAGACAUAUUUCUUCAAAAAGAUAACAUAAAGUGCUUAGGGUCAGUUCAACAAAAGCCUUAAGGAUCAAACCUGAAGAGACAAAAAAUAGCAACAGACGAAGUAAGGCAAUAAGCAGAGAAUCAUAAUACUUACACAACCUCAAGAGGUUCUCUUGAUAUGACCUGCUGAGAAAUAAAAUAUUAUCUGAAAAUUGCAAGACUCCAAGAUGUUGGCCCAAUAUUCCUAUUAUUAAGGAAUUAAAUGUGUCUUCUGCAUUUCCCAUAUUUUGAUUUGGCUUGUAACUGCAGUACUGAGUUCCCAUUCCUACUUCCUCAAGCCAAACCCGUUUUUGCUCCUUGCAUGGUAAACCACUGGACUGAAGCUCAUUAAGCCUUCCUUUCAAAUUUUAUUUAUUAAUUUUCAGUUUCGUUUUUCUCCCAUAUGAGAAUAAGAUCGACAAACAGCUUUACAGUUUGAAAAACUUCUUUCUAUAAACAAUAAACAUUCAGUUUUAUAAGCAGCCUUUGUCUCUGUUACUAUUUAUUAUGUAUAUGUUGCAUUUCUCAUGGACAUUUGUCAAUGAGAAUUUUUAAUCUCUGUGGUAAGGUGUUUUCUUCCAUUUAUUUAUUUAUUUAUGCAUUUAUGUGUUUAUGCAUUUGUUUAUUUUGAUGUCAGGAAGCCCUACAAUUUAGUUGACUUAUUUAAUCAUUCAAGAGAAUAAUAUUGAAACAGUGAAUUUUGAUAGCAUCAUGUCUGGGUUCAAUUAUUAGCUACAUCUUGCUAAUCUGUAUAAUAGUCAUACCAUAGGGCUUAGUUAAUUGUAAAUACUCAAUAAAUUUUUAUUUUUAACCUCA
Molecule: long non-coding RNA, 10164 nt
Filed under: Homo sapiens (human)
Lineage: Eukaryota; Metazoa; Chordata; Mammalia; Primates; Hominidae
Description: HSALNT0335084
Source: RNAcentral